This 452-nucleotide ribosomal RNA is filed under the name uncultured Streptococcus sp. RNAcentral describes it as "bacterial SSU rRNA". It matches the Rfam family "Bacterial small subunit ribosomal RNA", at positions 927 to 1382 of the family's 1533-position model. Lineage: Bacteria; Bacillati; Bacillota; Bacilli; Lactobacillales; Streptococcaceae. The record is from RNAcentral.
AAGCGGUGGAGCAUGUGUUUAAUUCGAAGCAACGCGAAGAACCUUACCAGGUCUUGACAUCCCGAUGCUAUUUCUAGAGAUAGAAAGUUACUUCGGUACAUCGGUGACAGGUGGUGCAUGGUUGUCGUCAGCUCGUGUCGUGAGAUGUUGGGUUAAGUCCCGCAACGAGCGCAACCCCUAUUGUUAGUUGCCAUCAUUCAGUUGGGCACUCUAGCGAGACUGCCGGUAAUAAACCGGAGGAAGUGGGGAUGACGUCAAAUCAUCAUGCCCCUUAUGACCUGGGCUACACACGUGCUACAAUGGUUGGUACAACGAGUUGCGAGUCGGUGACGGCGAGCUAAUCCCUUAAAGCCAAUCUCAGUUCGGAUUGUAGGCUGCAACUCGCCUACAUGAAGUCGGAAUCGCUAGUAAUCGCGGAUCAGCACGCCGCGGUGAAUACGUUCCCGGGCCUU